AAAGUUUUGCAAGGUGGUUUUCCCCAGGGUGAGGCUCAUCCAUUGCACUGCGGGUGUGCUGACCCCUGUGAUUUCCCCAAAUGCGGGAAACUCAACUGCAUAAUUUAUGGUAGUGGGAGACUGCGUUCAUGCUUUUCCCUG
RNAcentral lists this small nuclear RNA (141 nucleotides) under Chelydra serpentina (North American snapping turtle). RNAcentral's name for it is "U1 spliceosomal RNA (ENSCSRG00000010823.1)". It matches the Rfam family "U1 spliceosomal RNA", at positions 22 to 166 of the family's 166-position model. Rfam says of the family: U1 is a small nuclear RNA (snRNA) component of the spliceosome (involved in pre-mRNA splicing). Its 5' end forms complementary base pairs with the 5' splice junction, thus defining the 5' donor site of an intron. There are significant differences in sequence and secondary structure between metazoan and yeast U1 snRNAs, the latter being much longer (568 nucleotides as compared to 164 nucleotides in human). The record is from Rfam by way of RNAcentral. Lineage: Eukaryota; Metazoa; Chordata; Testudines; Chelydridae.